AACAAACGCUGGCGGCGUGCCUAACACAUGCAAGUCGUACGAGAAAGUUGGCUUCGGCCAAUAAGUAAAGUGGCGCACGGGUGAGUAACGCGUGGAUAAUCUACCCUUUAGCUAGGAAUAACUCACCGAAAGGUGGGCUAAUACCUAAUAAUACUGUUUCUACUCCGGUAGAACAGUCAAAGAUAGCCUCUGUAUACAAGCCUUCACUAAAGGAUGACUCCGCGUACCAUUAGCUAGUUGGUAGGGUAAUGGCCUACCAAGGCUACGAUGGUUAGCUUGUCUGAGAGGAUGAUCAGCCACACUGGAACUGAGAUACGGUCCAGACUCCUACGGGAGGCAGCAGUGAGGAAUCUUGCGCAAUGGGGGAAACCCUGACGCAGCAACGCCGCGUGAGUGAGGAAGGCCUUCGGGUCGUAAAGCUCUGUCAGGUGGGAAGAAGUGUAUGGGAGUUAAUAGCUCUCAUAUUUGACGGUACCAUCAGAGGAAGCACCGGCAAACUCCGUGCCAGCCGCCGCCGUAA
This 520-nucleotide ribosomal RNA is filed under the name uncultured bacterium. Its description in RNAcentral is "partial 16S ribosomal RNA". It matches the Rfam family "Bacterial small subunit ribosomal RNA", at positions 29 to 523 of the family's 1533-position model. The record is from RNAcentral.